Molecule: ribosomal RNA, 480 nt
Filed under: uncultured bacterium
Lineage: Bacteria
Description: partial 16S ribosomal RNA
Rfam family: Bacterial small subunit ribosomal RNA
Source: RNAcentral
GAUGAACGCUGGCGGCGUGCUUAACACAUGCAAGUCGAACGAAACACCUUAUUUGAUUUUCUUCGGAACUGAAGAUUUGGUGAUUGAGUGGCGGACGGGUGAGUAACGCGUGGGUAACCUGCCCUGUACAGGGGGAUAACAGUCAGAAAUGACUGCUAAUACCGCAUAAGACCACAGCACCGCAUGGUGCAGGGGUAAAAACUCCGGUGGUACAGGAUGGACCCGCGUCUGAUUAGCUGGGUGGUGAGGUAACGGCUCACCAAGGCGACGAUCAGUAGCCGGCGUGAGAGAGUGAACGGCCACAUUGGGACUGAGACACGGCCCAAACUCCUGCGGGAGGCAGCAGUGGGGAAUAUUGCACAAUGGGGGAAACCCUGAUGCAGCGACGCCGCGUGAGUGAAGAAGUAUUUCGGUAUGUAAAGCUCUAUCAGCAGGGAAGAAAAUGACGGUACCUGACUAAGAAGCCCCGGCGAACUACGU